RNAcentral lists this ribosomal RNA (96 nucleotides) under Pseudoalteromonas sp. S2721. Its description in RNAcentral is "partial 16S ribosomal RNA". It matches the Rfam family "Bacterial small subunit ribosomal RNA", at positions 1 to 90 of the family's 1533-position model. The record is from RNAcentral. Lineage: Bacteria; Pseudomonadati; Pseudomonadota; Gammaproteobacteria; Alteromonadales; Pseudoalteromonadaceae.
UUUAAUUGAAGAGUUUGAUCAUGGCUCAGAUUGAACGCUGGCGGCAGGCCUAACACAUGCAAGUCGAGCGGUAACAGAGAGUAGCUUGCUACUAUG